RNAcentral lists this ribosomal RNA (332 nucleotides) under Coronella austriaca. RNAcentral's name for it is "partial large subunit ribosomal RNA". It matches the Rfam family "Bacterial large subunit ribosomal RNA", at positions 2049 to 2593 of the family's 2925-position model. The record is from RNAcentral. Lineage: Eukaryota; Metazoa; Chordata; Lepidosauria; Squamata; Colubridae.
CCUAGUAAAAAAGCUAGAAUUACAACAUAAGACCAGAAGACCCUGUGAAGCUUAAAUAAAACUAUUAAACCACAUAAUAACUACUUUCGGUUGGGGCGACCUUGGAAAAAAAGAGAACUUCCAAAUAAAAUGACUAUACCUCAUUAUCCAAUUAGGCCAACAAGCCAAAAAUGACCCAGCACAGCUGAUAAUUGAACCAAGUUACUCCAGGGAUAACAGCGCAAUCUUCUUCAAGAGCCCAUAUCAAAAAGAAGGUUUACGACCUCGAUGUUGGAUCAGGACAUCCUAAUGGUGCAGCCGCUAUUAAGGGUUCGUUUGUUCAACGAUUAAUA